CCUACGGGAGGCAGCAGUGAGGAAUAUUGGUCAAUGGGCGAGAGCCUGAACCAGCCAAGUCGCGUGAGGGAGUACUGCCCUAUGGGUUGUAAACCUCUUUUGUCGGGGAGCAAAAGCCGGACGUGUCCGGCUGUGAGAGUACCCGAAGAAAAAGCAUCGGCUAACUACGUGCCAGCAGCCGCGGUAAUACGGAGGAUGCGAGCGUUAUCCGGAUUUAUUGGGGUUAAAGGGUGCGCAGGCGGAUUUUUAAGUCAGCGGUCAAAUCGUGGGGCUCAACCCCAUCCAGCCGUUGAAACUGGUGAUCUAGAGUGUGCGAGAGGUAUGCGGAAUGCGUCGUGUAGCGGUGAAAUGCAUAGAUAUCACGCAGAACCCCGAUUGCGAAGGCAGCAUACCGGUGCACAACUGACGCUCAGGCACGAAAGCGUGGGUAUCGAACAGGAUUAGAUACCCCAGUAGUC
This 458-nucleotide ribosomal RNA is filed under the name uncultured bacterium. RNAcentral describes it as "partial 16S ribosomal RNA". It matches the Rfam family "Bacterial small subunit ribosomal RNA", at positions 338 to 795 of the family's 1533-position model. The record is from RNAcentral.